UACAUAGCACGAUGGAUAAUUUUCAACUUG
This 30-nucleotide non-coding RNA is filed under the name Mus musculus (house mouse). The record is from RNAcentral. Lineage: Eukaryota; Metazoa; Chordata; Mammalia; Rodentia; Muridae.